GACGAACGCUGGCGGCGUGCUUAACACAUGCCAGUCGAACGGAAAGGCCCCUUUGGGGGUACUCGAGUGGCGAACGGGUGAGUAACACGUGAGUAACCUGCCCUUGACUUCGGGAUAACUUCAGGAAACUGGGGCUAAUACCGGAUAGGAAUCCUUGCUGCAUGGUGGGGGUUGGAAAGCUUCGGCGGUUUUGGAUGGACUCGCGGCUUAUCAGCUUGUUGGUGGGGUAGUGGCUUACCAAGGCUUUGACGGGUAGCCGGCCUGGGAGGGCGACCGGCCACAUUGGGACUGAGAUACGGCCCAGACUCCUACGGGAGGCAGCAGUGGGGAAUAUUGCACAAGGGGCGGAAGCCUGAUGCAGCAACGCCGCGUGCGGGAUGACGGCCUUCGGGUUGUAAACCGCUUUCAGCAGGGGCGAAGCUUGUGGUGACGGUACCUGCAGAAGAAGCACCGGCUAACUACGUG
Molecule: ribosomal RNA, 465 nt
Filed under: uncultured bacterium
Lineage: Bacteria
Description: partial 16S ribosomal RNA
Rfam family: Bacterial small subunit ribosomal RNA
Source: RNAcentral